RNAcentral lists this ribosomal RNA (510 nucleotides) under uncultured bacterium. RNAcentral describes it as "partial 16S ribosomal RNA". It matches the Rfam family "Bacterial small subunit ribosomal RNA", at positions 28 to 507 of the family's 1533-position model. The record is from RNAcentral.
GACGAACGCUGGCGGCGUGCUUAACACAUGCAAGUCGAACGAAGAGCGACGGAAGCUUGCUUCUAUCAAUCUUAGUGGCGAACGGGUGAGUAACGCGUAAUCAACCUGCCCUUCAGAGGGGGACAACAGUUGGAAACGACUGCUAAUACCGCAUACGAUCUAACCUCGGCAUCGAGGAUAGAUGAAAGGUGGCCUCUACAUGUAAGCUAUCACUGAAGGAGGGGAUUGCGUCUGAUUAGCUAGUUGGAGGGGUAACGGCCCACCAAGGCGAUGAUCAGUAGCCGGUCUGAGAGGAUGAACGGCCACAUUGGGACUGAGACACGGCCCAGACUCCUACGGGAGGUAGCAGUGGGGAAUCUUCCGCAAUGGACGAAAGUCUGACGGAGCAACGCCGCGUGAGUGAUGACGGCCUUCGGGUUGUAAAGCUCUGUUAAUCGGGACGAAAGGCCUUCUUGCGAAUAGUGAGAAGGAUUGACGGUACCGGAAGAGAAAGCCACGGCUAACUACGUG